This 262-nucleotide ribosomal RNA is filed under the name uncultured soil bacterium. Its description in RNAcentral is "partial 16S ribosomal RNA". It matches the Rfam family "Bacterial small subunit ribosomal RNA", at positions 26 to 284 of the family's 1533-position model. The record is from RNAcentral.
AGGACGAACGCUGGCGGCGUGCUUAACACAUGCAAGUCGAGCGGUAAGGCCUUUCGGGGUACACGAGCGGCGAACGGGUGAGUAACACGUGGGUGAUCUGCCCUGCACUCUGGGAUAAGCCUGGGAAACUGGGUCUAAUACCGGAUAUGACCUGCUCUCGCAGUGGGGGGUGGGUGGAAAGUAUUUAUCGGGUGCAGGAGUGGGCCCGCGGCCUAUCAGUCUUGGUUGGGUGGGUAAUGGCCUACCAAGGGCGACGACGGGU